AUUCUGCUCUUCCGUAACCUCUCUGGGCCUCGAUUCUCUCGUCUAUAACAGAAGGGAGUCCAUCUGUAUUGACUAACAUUCCACGUAUUAGAUUUUAUGUAUUCUUUUCUGGAGAGGAUCCAAAAUUUUAGACAGGAGGCACAUAGAAAUUGAAACCAUUGCCUGAGAUUACCUGGGGAGAAGUCUGGCAUCUUCAAUUGGAAACCAGGCAGCACAGGUUCAGAAUCCACAUUCUUUAAUGGUUAUACUACAUUGCCUCCUAUUGUUCAAAGUGCCUGAAGAGAAAGCACAACCUCGGCUAAUGUUUUCAGAUGCGUACAAGCCAGAAGGGACCGAAUGAAGAUGCUGAUGCUCUGAGAAUGCCACUCCAUUUGGAAUUCGAGGGAAUGAACCAUAACAAUCAACAGGGACACAGAACAUCCCCACAUCAAAGAGGUGAAGUUAGUCACAAGUGACAAUCCAGUGUUAAAUAAAUUGUUUUAGCUGUU
Molecule: long non-coding RNA, 488 nt
Organism: Equus caballus (horse)
Lineage: Eukaryota; Metazoa; Chordata; Mammalia; Perissodactyla; Equidae
Source: RefSeq, a predicted model, not a curated record